GAGAAUAAUGAAAACUCCCUAAACGUGCCCGAUCUCGUCUGGAAGCUAAGCAGGGUCGGGCCUGGUUAGUACUUGGAUGGGAGAAUAAUGAAAACAGUAAGGUAUCAUCUUGC
Molecule: ribosomal RNA, 113 nt
Filed under: Mustela putorius furo (domestic ferret)
Lineage: Eukaryota; Metazoa; Chordata; Mammalia; Carnivora; Mustelidae
Source: RNAcentral